GAAUAUUGCACAAUGGGGGAAACCCUGAUGCAGCGACGCCGCGUGCAGGAAGAAGGUCUUCGGAUCGUAAACUUCUAUCAGCAGGGAAGAAGGAAGCGACCGUACCUGAGUAAGAAGCCCCGGCUAACUACGUGCCAGCAGCCGCGGUAAUACGUAGGGGGCGAGCGUUCGCCGGAAUUACUGGGGGUAAAGGGUGCGUAGGCGGUAUGGCAAGUCAGUUGUGAAACCCCCUGGCUCAACCAGGGGCUUGCAAUUGAAACUGUCAUACUAGAGUGCAGGAGAGGAAAGCGGAAUUCCUAGUGUAGCGGUGAAAUGCGUAGAUAUUAGGAAGAACACCAGUGGCGAAGGCGGCUUUCUGGACUGUAACAGACGCUGAGGCACGAAAGCGUGGGGAGCGAACA
RNAcentral lists this ribosomal RNA (401 nucleotides) under uncultured bacterium. Its description in RNAcentral is "bacterial SSU rRNA". It matches the Rfam family "Bacterial small subunit ribosomal RNA", at positions 359 to 774 of the family's 1533-position model. The record is from RNAcentral.